RNAcentral lists this transfer RNA (68 nucleotides) under Spinacia oleracea (spinach). It matches the Rfam family "tRNA". Rfam says of the family: Transfer RNA (tRNA) molecules are approximately 80 nucleotides in length. Lineage: Eukaryota; Viridiplantae; Streptophyta; Magnoliopsida; Caryophyllales; Amaranthaceae. The record is from Rfam by way of RNAcentral.
GGGCAUGUAGCUCAGAGGAUUAGAGCGUAUGGCUACGCGUGCCGGAGGUUCAAAUCCCUCCUUGCCCA